Molecule: long non-coding RNA, 391 nt
Organism: Mauremys mutica (yellowpond turtle)
Lineage: Eukaryota; Metazoa; Chordata; Testudines; Geoemydidae
Exons: 3
Source: RefSeq, a predicted model, not a curated record
CAGCUUAGUUUCUUCUUCUUGGACCUUCAAGGAAAUCAUAAACUUGUGCUUAUGACAACCAUCUACUGCUACUGAAACAACUGUGAUGUCAAAUUCAAUAUUAUAGACUUGUAUACAGAAUCAAAAAAAGGACUGCAGAUCUUUGACUUAGACCAAUAUUAAGCUCUGGGGCUGUAUAACGUGCAAAUGCUUGAAAGAUUCAGAAGAUCAAUAGCCACAGAAAACAUAUUGUUGAACACAUCAUUGUUGAGCCCGUGUUUUAGAAACCCAGUAAUCUGUGAGGUGAUACCAUUGUCUCCAGUGCAGAGCAAGAUGCCUCUAUGUGCUGGAACCAUGAAGGAGCCAUGCUUUGAGUCGCAAGGUCCAUAAGUUGGGAUGGAGAGUGCACCCC